GAUCAUCCCACACUUUGACUUCAUAACCAAAAUGUAUCUUCUGUCUUAUCCCCAGUAACAAAAGCUUCCUUACAGCGGAGAUGCUAGUCCACGCGUAGGAUGGACGGCUUACAGUGUUUACUCUCAGGGGCGAGCUCAAUCUAUAGUAUCUUCUCCUCAAGACUCGGACAACCAGCGAAUUUGGAUAUUGUACUACCCUCCAUAAUUGUUUUGCCA
RNAcentral lists this long non-coding RNA (216 nucleotides) under Brassica rapa (field mustard). Its description in RNAcentral is "long non-coding RNA (BRAP_LNC007553)". Lineage: Eukaryota; Viridiplantae; Streptophyta; Magnoliopsida; Brassicales; Brassicaceae. The record is from RNAcentral.